CCAAAGCCUGGUGUAGGUAGGAGAACCCGCUGAACUGAAGCAUCUCAAUA
RNAcentral lists this ribosomal RNA (50 nucleotides) under Trichomitopsis minor. Its description in RNAcentral is "partial 28S large subunit ribosomal RNA". Lineage: Eukaryota; Parabasalia; Trichomonadida; Trichomonadidae. The record is from RNAcentral.